GGCACGCCUUAUACAUGCAAGUCGAACGGAGUAGCAAUACUUAGUGGCAGACGGGUGAGUAACAUGUGGGUAUCUUCCCUUUGGUGAGGAAUAACACGAGGAAACUUGUGCUAAUACCUCAUAAGUCUUUACGGAGAAAGCUUUAUGCGCCAAUGGAUGAGCCCGCACUUGAUUAGUUUGUUGGUGGGGUAAUGGCCUACCAAGACAUAGAUCAAUAGCUGAUCUGAGAGGAUGAUCAGCCACAUUGGGACUGAGACACGGCCCAAACUCCUACGGGAGGCAGCAGUAGGGAAUAUUGCACAAUGGAGGAAACUCUGAUGCAGCGAUGCCGCGUGAGUGAAGAAGGCCCUUGGGUUGUAAAGCUCUUUCGUCGGGGAAGAAAAUGACUGUACCCGAAUAAGAAGGUCCGGCUAACUUCGUGCCAGCAGCCGCGGUAAUACGAAGGGACCUAGCGUAGUUCGGAAUUACUGGGCUUAAAGAGUUCGUAGGUGGUUAAAAAAGUUGGUGGUGAAAUCCCAGAGCUUAACUCUGGAACUGCCAUCAAAACUUUUUAGCUAGAGUAUGAUAGAGGAAAGCAGAAUUUCUAGUGUAGAGGUGAAAUUCGUAGAUAUUAGAAAGAAUACCAAUUGCGAAGGCAGCUUUCUGGAUCAUUACUGACACUGAGGAACGAAAGCAUGGGUAGCGAAGAGGAUUAGAUACCCUCGUAGUCCAUGCCGUAAACGAUGUGUGUUAGACGUUGGAAAUUUAUUUUCAGUGUCGCAGCAAAAGCAGUAAACACACCGCCUGGGGAGUACGACCG
RNAcentral lists this ribosomal RNA (799 nucleotides) under uncultured Pelagibacteraceae bacterium. Its description in RNAcentral is "bacterial SSU rRNA". It matches the Rfam family "Bacterial small subunit ribosomal RNA", at positions 41 to 888 of the family's 1533-position model. The record is from RNAcentral. Lineage: Bacteria; Pseudomonadati; Pseudomonadota; Alphaproteobacteria; Candidatus Pelagibacterales; Candidatus Pelagibacteraceae.